RNAcentral lists this ribosomal RNA (253 nucleotides) under uncultured bacterium. Its description in RNAcentral is "partial 16S ribosomal RNA". It matches the Rfam family "Bacterial small subunit ribosomal RNA", at positions 524 to 776 of the family's 1533-position model. The record is from RNAcentral.
UACAGAGGUGGCAAGCGUUGUUCGGAAUUACUGGGCGUAAAGGGCGCGUAGGCGGCCUACUAAGUCAGACGUGAAAGCCCCGGGCUCAACCUGGGAAUGGCAAUGGAAACUGGCGGGCUAGAGUGUGGCAGAGGGGGGUGGAAUUCCGCGUGUAGCAGUGAAAUGCGUAGAGAUGCGGAGGAACACCGAUGGCGAAGGCAGCCCCCUGGGCUAGCACUGACGCUCAGGCACGAAAGCGUGGGGAGCAGACAGG